UGGGGAAUUUUGGACAAUGGGGGAAACCCUGAUCCAGCCAUCCCGCGUGUGCGAUGAAGGCCUUCGGGUUGUAAAGCACUUUUGGCAGGAAAGAAACGUCGCGGGUUAAUACCCCGCGAAACUGACGGUACCUGCAGAAUAAGCACCGGCUAACUACGUGCCAGCAGCCGCGGUAAUACGUAGGGUGCAAGCGUUAAUCGGAAUUACUGGGCGUAAAGCGUGCGCAGGCGGUUCGGAAAGAAAGAUGUGAAAUCCCAGAGCUUAACUUUGGAACUGCAUUUUUAAACUACCGGGCUAGAGUGUGUCAGAGGGAGGUGGAAUUCCGCGUGUAGCAGUGAAAUGCGUAGAUAUGCGGAGGAACACCGAUGGCGAAGGCAGCCUCCUGGGAUAACACUGACGCUCAUGCACGAAAAGCGUGGGGAGCAAACAGGAUUAGAUACCCUGGUAGUCCACGCCCUAAAACGAUGUCAACUAGCUGUUGGGGCCUUCGGGCCUUGGUAGCGCAGCUAACGCGUGAAGUUGACCGCCUGGGGAGUACGGUCGCAAGAUUAAAAACUU
RNAcentral lists this ribosomal RNA (558 nucleotides) under uncultured bacterium. RNAcentral's name for it is "partial 16S ribosomal RNA". It matches the Rfam family "Bacterial small subunit ribosomal RNA", at positions 355 to 902 of the family's 1533-position model. The record is from RNAcentral.